This 393-nucleotide ribosomal RNA is filed under the name Gammaproteobacteria bacterium. RNAcentral describes it as "bacterial SSU rRNA". It matches the Rfam family "Bacterial small subunit ribosomal RNA", at positions 1 to 394 of the family's 1533-position model. The record is from RNAcentral. Lineage: Bacteria; Pseudomonadati; Pseudomonadota; Gammaproteobacteria.
GAACUGAAGAGUUUGAUCAUGGCUCAGAUUGAACGCUGGCGGCAGGCCUAACACAUGCAAGUCGAGCGGCAGCACGGGUACUUGUACCUGGUGGCGAGCGGCGGACGGGUGAGUAAUGCCUAGGAAUCUGCCUGGUAGUGGGGGAUAACGCUCGGAAACGGACGCUAAUACCGCAUACGUCCUACGGGAGAAAGCAGGGGACCUUCGGGCCUUGCGCUAUCAGAUGAGCCUAGGUCGGAUUAGCUAGUUGGUGAGGUAAUGGCUCACCAAGGCGACGAUCCGUAACUGGUCUGAGAGGAUGAUCAGUCACACUGGAACUGAGACACGGUCCAGACUCCUACGGGAGGCAGCAGUGGGGAAUAUUGGACAAUGGGCGAAAGCCUGAUCCAGCCA